Molecule: long non-coding RNA, 1295 nt
Filed under: Astyanax mexicanus (Mexican tetra)
Lineage: Eukaryota; Metazoa; Chordata; Actinopteri; Characiformes; Acestrorhamphidae
Description: lncRNA (ENSAMXG00005008600.1)
Source: RNAcentral
UGAUCUCCAUGCCUCAGGCUGAAGGUAAGAAUUAAUCAGUAUAGUAAUUUUAUUUACAGUCUGAUUUUAUAUCUGAUGAUUUUCUUUGUUUUUUCCAGCUGAUUUUUAUUCAGCUAAGAUUUAUGGAAACAGCAGUUUUAAAGCAGGAGGGAAGCUGGUGGUGAAGUGCAGCACGUUCGGUAAACAGACACUCGGGGAAGUCUUCGUUUAUCUCUGUAAGAAUGGAAGAGUUUUACAGAAGAGUAAAACUCAGCAGGAUUUUACAUUUAUUAUAGAAAAUAUAACUAAAAACUUCACAGGAAAUUACAGCUGUGUCUACUCAACACGAGAGUACGAUCUGAACGCCGUCAGCAGACCAGGCUCCGAACUCCUCUUCAUUACGGUGAACGAAUCUUUUGUUCCUGCAUAUUUAACAGUUCUGGAGGACGGAGUGAAGGAAGGUUCUGAUGCCGAGUUUAAAUGUUCUUCUUUAAUCCGGCCCUACACGGAUUCUGACAGCAGGAUUUACGCUUAUCUGUGUAAAAACAGAACCGUGAUUCAGGUGAACGUCUGGAACACAGAGAAGAACGAGACGAUCUUCAUCCUAAAAAACGUCAAAAGAGAAGAUUCUGGAAAAUAUCUCUGUGUUCUGAUGGCCGAUAUUCAGCCUCUUCCUAAUCUGAUAAUAAAUGGAAUUAAUGAAGCGGAAAUUUGGGUUAUGGGAGGUUGUUUCACAUGCAGUGAAGGCAGAGCCACUGAACCCACGAUCACAUCAGGAGGGGAAAUUCUGAACCAUGAAAUCUUAUUGGAAAACAGAACGGAUGCAGAAUGGGACGAGUUUUCUGAUGAUGAUCAAAGUGGUGAGUAUUUAAAUGAAGCUUACUUUCUUUUAACUAUACAAACAUUUAUUUUAGUAUUAAUUUAACUCUAACUGAUGAUUUUACACUGGCUAAUUUACUGUAUAUAAAACUGUAUAAACAUGUACUUUACUGAUAACUAUGCUAAAUAAGUCGUUACCAGUUUUAUCCCAAAUUAUAUUUGGUUAAAUUGCUCUCACAGCUCGAGCUUCACAGGAGGAAAUUUAUCAGGUGAGCUGCUUAAAGAUUAAUCACUAAACUCAUUUUCUGUGGAAUUAAGGCCUGUAAAUUAUUCAGUUUUUAAUUAUCAUUCUGCAUAACAAGUGCAGUUUAUUCAACAGAGCAUUUUUCUAUAGUGGACUUAUUCUCUUAUUCGCUGACCGGAGUCACAUGACCAAAGUGUGCAAUAACUUUGAAACCGGUAAACCAUGAAAUAAAUAAGAUAAUGUGUUUAAUUCA